UGCUUGGUCCAGUCCGGCUUGAAGGCGAUCUGUGGAACCUUCCGGUUGGUCGCCCAUUUGGAGGCGAUCAGUUCGGCACCCUUUGGUGAGCCGCCAUGGAUCAGGACCAUGUCCGGAUGCUUGGCGUGAACCUUGUCGAGACGAUCCCAGAUCAAGGUGUGGUCGUUGAAGUCGAGGCCGCCAGUGAGUGCGAUCUUGGGCCCAGGUGGCAACAAGACCUCGGUCUCUGCGCGGCGCUUGGCUGCGAUGAAAUCCCGGGAGUCGAUCAUUGCCGCCGUGAGCGUGCGAUGGUUGACAAGCGAACCCGAGCGGGGGCGCCAGGGUGAACCGGUGUGGAGCUCAAAGUGCUCGAUGGCCUGAUCGCGGAACAGCUCCNGCGGCGCUCGAUCAGUGUGAUGCCUUCGGCCGUCAGGCGCUCGAGUUCGACCGAUCGUACUUCCGAACCAUUCUGCUCGCGCUGGCUCUUGCGUUGAGCCUGUUCGUUGUCAUCGNGGCGAUCAAUUCGGUCCGCGGCACGAUGGAACAGGUUGACGGUCGACCAGAGCAAAUCGCU
RNAcentral lists this unclassified non-coding RNA (553 nucleotides) under Hevea brasiliensis (rubber tree). Lineage: Eukaryota; Viridiplantae; Streptophyta; Magnoliopsida; Malpighiales; Euphorbiaceae. The record is from RNAcentral.